This 253-nucleotide ribosomal RNA is filed under the name uncultured bacterium. RNAcentral's name for it is "partial 16S ribosomal RNA". It matches the Rfam family "Bacterial small subunit ribosomal RNA", at positions 524 to 776 of the family's 1533-position model. The record is from RNAcentral.
UACGUAGGGUGCAAGCGUUGUCCGGAAUUAUUGGGCGUAAAGAGCUCGUAGGCGGUUUGUCGCGUCUGCUGUGAAAACUCGGGGCUUAACCCCGGGCCUGCAGUGGGUACGGGCAGACUAGAGUGCGGUAGGGGAGACUGGAAUUCCCGGUGUAGCGGUGAAAUGCGCAGAUAUCAGGAGGAACACCAAUGGCGAAGGCAGCUCGCUGGGACGGUACUGACGCUGAGACGCGAAAGCGUGGGGAGCAAACAGG